This 76-nucleotide transfer RNA is filed under the name Candidatus Sulfotelmatobacter kueseliae. RNAcentral's name for it is "tRNA-His". It matches the Rfam family "tRNA". Rfam says of the family: Transfer RNA (tRNA) molecules are approximately 80 nucleotides in length. Lineage: Bacteria; Pseudomonadati; Acidobacteriota; Terriglobia; Terriglobales; Candidatus Korobacteraceae. The record is from RNAcentral. RNAcentral also lists the same sequence under 2 other names.
GUGGGAAUAGCUCAACUGGUAGAGCAUCGGACUGUGGCUCCGACGGUUGCGGGUUCGAUUCCCGUUUCCCACCCCA